CAGGUUCUGAGGGCACCAUUGCCUUCGUGUAAGCCACCAACAGGGCUGACUGGGUUAUUUGCUGUGUGAGGCUCGGAAAUGGACGGAGCACGUCCAGCGCUUCCCUUGGAUUCCUCGCCAGGCACAGAGGAAAGGCUAUGGGAGCACAAAGCAAGAAAGUGGACUUCUGCAAGCCAGGAAGAAAGGCCUCCCCAGAAACCAACUCUGUGAGCACAUCGAUCUUUGACUUUUGGCCUCCAGAAUAUUGAGAAAAUAAAAGUCUGUUGUUAAGCCACCCAA
Long non-coding RNA from Homo sapiens (human), 279 nucleotides. RefSeq lists it as uncharacterized. The record is from RefSeq and is a predicted model, not a curated record. The transcript has 2 exons. NCBI's taxonomy places the organism in Eukaryota, Metazoa, Chordata, Mammalia, Primates, Hominidae.